RNAcentral lists this ribosomal RNA (468 nucleotides) under uncultured bacterium. RNAcentral's name for it is "partial 16S ribosomal RNA". It matches the Rfam family "Bacterial small subunit ribosomal RNA", at positions 28 to 507 of the family's 1533-position model. The record is from RNAcentral.
GACGAACGCUGGCGGCGUGCUUAACACAUGCAAGUCGAACGGAAAGGCCCUGCUUUUGUGGGGUGCUCGAGUGGCGAACGGGUGAGUAACACGUGAGUAACCUGCCCUUGACUUUGGGAUAACUUCAGGAAACUGGGGCUAAUACCGGAUAGGAGCUCCUGCUGCAUGGUGGGGGUUGGAAAGUUUCGGCGGUUGGGGAUGGACUCGCGGCUUAUCAGCUUGUUGGUGGGGUAGUGGCUUACCAAGGCUUUGACGGGUAGCCGGCCUGAGAGGGUGACCGGCCACAGUGGGACUGAGAUAGGCCGCAGACUCCGAGGGGGGGCAGCAGGGGGGAAUAUGGCAAAAGGGGGGGACGCCUGAGGCAGCACCGCCGGGUGCGGGAGGACGGCUUUCGGGUGGAAAACCGCUUUCGCCGGGGACGAAGGGGGAGGGAGGGUAAGGGGUAAAGAAGCACCGGCUAACUACGUG